GACAAAUUUCUCUUUGGAUCUGCACUGUGGAUUCUUUUGAGGCCCUGUUGAAGGUCACCUGAGCUCAUGAGAACACGACCUCUUCUCAAGAUGUAUCAUUGCAUAGUAACAUGGACCAAUUCUUAGGGAACAUAAGAAUCUAUGUCCCAACAAAGAUAGAGGGGAUGCAGGAACUCCCUGGUUCAUUGUCUGCAUAGAGGAGAUAAU
Gymnogyps californianus (California condor) is the source of this 207-nucleotide long non-coding RNA. RefSeq lists it as uncharacterized. The record is from RefSeq and is a predicted model, not a curated record. The transcript is spliced from 3 exons. NCBI's taxonomy places the organism in Eukaryota, Metazoa, Chordata, Aves, Accipitriformes, Cathartidae.